GUAAGCAUAGUUUAACCAAAACAUUAGAUUGUGAAUCUAAAAAUAGAAAUUUAACUCUUCUUGCUUACC
This 69-nucleotide transfer RNA is filed under the name Dermanura rava. RNAcentral describes it as "tRNA-His". It matches the Rfam family "tRNA". From Rfam's summary of the family: Transfer RNA (tRNA) molecules are approximately 80 nucleotides in length. Their secondary structure includes four short double-helical elements and three loops (D, anti-codon, and T loops). The record is from RNAcentral. Lineage: Eukaryota; Metazoa; Chordata; Mammalia; Chiroptera; Phyllostomidae.